Molecule: ribosomal RNA, 305 nt
Filed under: uncultured bacterium
Lineage: Bacteria
Description: partial 16S ribosomal RNA
Rfam family: Bacterial small subunit ribosomal RNA
Source: RNAcentral
UAAACCUCGGGGGGCAGCAGUGGGGGAUAUUGCACAAUGGGGGGAACCCUGAUGCAGCGACGCCGCGUGGGUGAAGAAGCGCCUCGGCGCGUAAAGCCCUGUCAGCAGGGAAGAAAAUGACGGUACCUGAAGAAGAAGCCCCGGCUAACUACGUGCCAGCAGCCGCGGUAAUACGUAGGGGGCAAGCGUUAUCCGGAUUUACUGGGUGUAAAGGGGGCGCAGACGGCCAUGGCAAGCCCGGUGUGAAAGGCAGGGGCAUAACCCCUGGACUGCACUGGGAACUGUCAGGCUGGAGUGCCGGAGGG